Molecule: transfer RNA, 30 nt
Filed under: Staberoha distachyos
Lineage: Eukaryota; Viridiplantae; Streptophyta; Magnoliopsida; Poales; Restionaceae
Description: partial tRNA-Phe
Source: RNAcentral
GUCAGGAUAGCUCAGUUGGUAGAGCNGAGG